CGCGUAGGUGGUUUGUUAAGUCAGCUGUGAAAGCCCCGGGCUCAACCUGGGAAUUGCAGUUGAUACUGGCAGGCUAGAGUACGAGAGAGGGAGGUAGAAUUCCAUGUGUAGCGGUGAAAUGCGUAGAUAUAUGGAGGAAUACCAGUGGCGAAGGCGGCCUCCUGGCUCGAUACUGACACUGAGGUGCGAAAGCGUGGGUAGCAAACAGGAUUAGAUACCCUGGUAGUCC
Molecule: ribosomal RNA, 229 nt
Filed under: uncultured bacterium
Lineage: Bacteria
Description: partial 16S ribosomal RNA
Rfam family: Bacterial small subunit ribosomal RNA
Source: RNAcentral